Molecule: long non-coding RNA, 1071 nt
Organism: Xenopus laevis (African clawed frog)
Lineage: Eukaryota; Metazoa; Chordata; Amphibia; Anura; Pipidae
Exons: 5
Source: RefSeq, a predicted model, not a curated record
AUAAUUAUAAAUAGUAUUUUAUUGGCACAAAUUAUCCCUCACUAUUAUAACUUGUUUCAUUACAGUAUUAACAAACAUUUCAUGAGCAUUGUGGGUCACCCGCAGGCCCCCUUACAGAGAAAGCAUGUGGAUAUAUAUAUUUAUAUAUGAUUUCAUUUUCAUACCAUUCAUUUAAUUGUAAUGCCCCGGUUAAUGGUAUUUAUUUCUUAUAUGACCCAUUGAUCAAGAGAGACAUUACUACAUUACUACCUAUUCUAUGGAAGUAAUUGGAAAGCUUCCACAUCUUGUCCAUAAAUGUGCCAAUUACAUGUUAAUUGCCAUAAUCCUGAUGAUUAUUAUAUACUGAGCCGCUUUUAUUUUCCUUUGUAUUCCUUACAGACUCAACUAAGGUGACAGACACAGAGACAGCAAAAGAUAUCCAUUAUAAACCAUUUAUCCGAUUAGCUGGUGGAUGCGUCAGUUUGCUAAUAAUUGGAGUUCUGGCAUUUUGCAUUCGAUUCUGCAACAAGCAUGUAAAAGUGUUAAGAGAGCGUAAGAAAGAGGUCCGGAGCUUACAAGUGUUUGAAAAAGGAGUAAAAAUACAGAUAACAGAAAACUCUAAGGAAAAUGAAGAGACUCCUAUAAAAGAAAAUGAAAAUAAAGAGCAAGAAGUACCAAAAUCUGCUACAAAAAUAGAUCCCCCUCGAGCUGAAACAGAUGAAACGAUUAAUGAAAGUGAGGUUGAUCUGGAGAAAGGAGCUAGUGAGGACACACAAAAACAAGGGAAGAAGAAAAAAAGAAAAAUAUGGAAAAUAUGGAAAUGGAAAAUAUGGAGAAGGAAACAGAAAAACGCAGAAAUGACACUUGUCCAAGAAUAAAAGCCAAAGUCAAAGGAGCAGCCAUUCAAAAUAAAGAAUGGAAUAACAGCAGACCUAGAAUCACUAUGGCCGUUAGGGUUGCCACCUUUAUGUCUGGCUGAGACCGGGCGGGGGGCGUGUCUGUGAUGCCAGGGGGCGUGUCUGUGACAUCAGUGGACAUGUCCGUGACAUCAGUGGGCGUGUCUGUGACAUCAGUGGACGGACCCGUGACGUC